Molecule: ribosomal RNA, 253 nt
Filed under: uncultured bacterium
Lineage: Bacteria
Description: partial 16S ribosomal RNA
Rfam family: Bacterial small subunit ribosomal RNA
Source: RNAcentral
AACGUAGGAGACAAACGUUAUCCGGAGUUACUGGGCGUAAAGGGCGUGUAGGUGGUAUCGUAAGUCUGGCGUGAAAUUUCUCGGCUUAACCGAGGCAGGUCGUCGGAUACUGCGAGGCUAGAGGACGGUGGAGGCGUGUGGAAUUCCGGGUGUAGUGGUGAAAUGCGCAGAUAUCAGGAAGAACACCCGUGGCGAAAGCGGCUCUCUGGAACGGUACUGACGCUGAGACGCGAAAGCGUGGGGAGCGAACAGG